UCGAGAAUCUUCGGCAAUGGGCGCAAGCCUGACCGAGCGACGCCGCGUGCGGGAUGAAGGCCUUCGGGUUGUAAACCGCUGUCAGAGGGGAUGAAAUGCAGGUGGGUUCUCCCAUCUGUUUGACAUAGCCUCAGAGGAAGGACGGGCUAAGUUCGUGCCAGCAGCCGCGGUAAGACGAACCGUCCAAACGUUAUUCGGAAUCACUGGGCUUAAAGGGUGCGUAGGCGGCGCGGAAAGUUGGGUGUGAAAUCCCUCGGCUCAACCGAGGAAUUGCGCCCAAAACUUCCGUGCUCGAGGAAGAUAGAGGUGAGCGGAACUUAGGGUGGAGCGGUGAAAUGCGUUGAUAUCCUAAGGACACCGGUGGCGAAAGCGGCUCACUGGAUCUUUUCUGACGCUGAGGCACGAAAGCGUAGGGUAGCGGAACGGGAUUAGAUACCCCGGUAGUCCUAGCCGUAAACGAUGAGCACUGGAUUGGAGGGUCCUCCGAUAGCCUUCCAGU
This 499-nucleotide ribosomal RNA is filed under the name uncultured Planctomycetota bacterium. RNAcentral's name for it is "bacterial SSU rRNA". It matches the Rfam family "Bacterial small subunit ribosomal RNA", at positions 355 to 846 of the family's 1533-position model. Lineage: Bacteria; Pseudomonadati; Planctomycetota. The record is from RNAcentral.